This 577-nucleotide ribosomal RNA is filed under the name uncultured bacterium. RNAcentral's name for it is "bacterial SSU rRNA". It matches the Rfam family "Bacterial small subunit ribosomal RNA", at positions 102 to 677 of the family's 1533-position model. The record is from RNAcentral.
ACGGGUGAGUAACGCGUAGGAAUCUGCCUUGAAGAGGGGGACAACCCGAGGAAACUCGGGCUAAUACCGCAUAAUAUCGAGAGAUUAAAGCUGGGUGGCAACACCUGGUACUUCAAGAGGAGCCUGCGUCCGAUUAGCUAGUUGGUAGGGUAAAAGCCUACCAAGGCGAUGAUCGGUAACUGGUCUGAGAGGAUGACCAGUCACACUGGGACUGAGACACGGCCCAGACUCCUACGGGAGGCAGCAGUGGGGAAUAUUGGACAAUGGGGGCAACCCUGAUCCAGCAAUGCCGCGUGUGUGAAGAAGGCCUUCGGGUUGUAAAGCACUUUAGUUGGGGAGGAAGAUUAGUAGUUUAAGAGAUAGCUAAUUUGACUGUACCCAAAGAAUAAGCACCGGCUAACUCUGUGCCAGCAGCCGCGGUAAUACAGAGGGUGCGAGCGUUAAUCGGAAUUACUGGGCGUAAAGGGCGCGUAGGCGGUUAUUUAAGUUAGAUGUGAAAUCCCUGGGCUUAACCUAGGAACUGCAUCUGAUACUGGAUGGCUGGAGUGUGGUAGAGGGUAGUGGAAUUUCCGGUGUA